This 416-nucleotide ribosomal RNA is filed under the name Scolopocryptops miersii. RNAcentral's name for it is "partial 16S ribosomal RNA". It matches the Rfam family "Bacterial large subunit ribosomal RNA", at positions 1917 to 2565 of the family's 2925-position model. Lineage: Eukaryota; Metazoa; Arthropoda; Chilopoda; Scolopendromorpha; Cryptopidae. The record is from RNAcentral.
GAUUAUUUAAAUGGCCGCGGUAUUUUGACCGUGCAAAGGUAGCAUAAUCAAUUGUCUAUUAAUUGUAGACUAGAAUGAAUGGUUGGACCUGAAAUUAAUUGUCUUUAUAUUAAUAUGAAUUUUGGGUUUUUAUGAAGAUUUAAAGAUGAAUUUACUAGACGAGAAGACCCUAUUAAGCUUUAUAUGUAGGAUUUAUUAAUGAUUAGUGAAAUGUAAUACUAAAAUAUUUUACUGGGGCGGUAAAUAAUAAUUAUAACAUUAUUUUUAAUAAAAACAUAUUGAUGAAUUAUGAUCCAAAAUUUUUGAUUAAUAGACUAAGUUACUAUAGGGAUAACAGCGUAAUUUUAUUUAGGAGUACAAAUCUAUGAUGAAGAUUGCGACCUCGAUGUUGGUUUAGGAUACCUUUAAAAAAUUUU